CAGCACUCAGUAAGGGAUUAUCCUCUGAAUUAAUUCAUUCUUCACCCUGACCUUUCUUCACAUUACAGAACGUUCUCCUGGGCAGCCUUUUGAUCUUUGCCACGUUUGUGACUUUAUGCAAUGGAUCAUGCUAUGUAAUACGUCAUAAGUUAGCUCCAGGAGAGACAAUCAAAGAAUGCACGGAUCUCAAAGGAAACAAACACCCGCUAGACUCAAGAUGGCGGACUGAAGACUGUGAGCUAUGUGCUUGCCGUGACAUAGAAAUAUCGUGUUGCUCCCUUGUUUUGCGGGAACAGGAGUGGAUCUAUGGCAGAAGCACUGGCAUCAAGGGGCAUUUCCCAA
Molecule: long non-coding RNA, 342 nt
Organism: Sapajus apella (tufted capuchin)
Lineage: Eukaryota; Metazoa; Chordata; Mammalia; Primates; Cebidae
Exons: 3
Source: RefSeq, a predicted model, not a curated record